UUUUGUGUAUUUGAAAAAUAAGGU
Molecule: non-coding RNA, 24 nt
Filed under: Cricetulus griseus (Chinese hamster)
Lineage: Eukaryota; Metazoa; Chordata; Mammalia; Rodentia; Cricetidae
Source: RNAcentral